AACGAACGCUGGCGGCAGGCCUAACACAUGCAAGUCGAGCGCCCUUUCGGGGGAGCGGCGGACGGGUGAGUACCGCGUGGGAAUAUGCCCUUCUCUACGGAAUAGCCACGGGAAACUGAGAGUAAUACCGUAUACGCCCUGUGGGGGAAAGAUUUAUCGGGGAAGGAUUAGCCCGCGUUGGAUUAGGUAGUUGGUGGGGUAAUGGCCUACCAAGCCGACGAUCCAUAGCUGGUUUGAGAGGAUGAUCAGCCACACUGGGACUGAGACACGGCCCAGACUCCUACGGGAGGCAGCAGUGGGGAAUCUUAGACAAUGGGGGCAACCCUGAUCUAGCCAUGCCGCGUGAGUGAUGAAGGCCUUAGGGUUGUAAAGCUCUUUCAGCUGGGAAGAUAAUGACGGUACCAGCAGAAGAAGCCCCGGCUAACUCCGUG
Molecule: ribosomal RNA, 431 nt
Filed under: uncultured bacterium
Lineage: Bacteria
Description: partial 16S ribosomal RNA
Rfam family: Bacterial small subunit ribosomal RNA
Source: RNAcentral